RNAcentral lists this small nuclear RNA (107 nucleotides) under Nannospalax galili (Upper Galilee mountains blind mole rat). The record is from RNAcentral. Lineage: Eukaryota; Metazoa; Chordata; Mammalia; Rodentia; Spalacidae.
GUGCUAGCUUCGGCAGCACAUGUACUAAAAUUGGGAUGAUACAGAGAAGAUUAGCAUGGCCCCUGUGCAAGGAUGACACGCAAAUUCAUGAAGCAUUCCAUAUUUUU